RNAcentral lists this ribosomal RNA (253 nucleotides) under uncultured bacterium. RNAcentral's name for it is "partial 16S ribosomal RNA". It matches the Rfam family "Bacterial small subunit ribosomal RNA", at positions 524 to 776 of the family's 1533-position model. The record is from RNAcentral.
UACAGAGGGGGCAAGCGUUGUCCGGACUGACUGGGCGUAAAGCGCGCGCAGGCGGUCGCGAGCGUCGGUGCUGAAAGGGCGCCGCUUAACGGCGCGAAGGGUGCCGAUACGCCGCGACUGGAGCGAUGGCGAGGGUGGUGGAAUUGCCGGUGUAGUGGUGAAAUGCGUAGAGAUCGGCAGGAACACCCGUGGCGCAAGCGGCCACCUAGCCGUCGGCUGACGCUGAGGCGCGACAGCGUGGGGAGCGAACCGG